UACGUAUCAGCGAAUGUUGACGUCCUGCGAUUCGAAUCGUCAUUCGGCAUUUGGCUUACAACGAGUUAAGUUGCGUUGUAGAGAUCAGACAAAAAAUUGAUUCAAUUGAUAAAUUCUGGGUGAAAAAGUGGCAAUAUGGCGGAUUACGAAGAAAUGUUGCAUAUCGAACAAGAAAUCGAGGCGCUGCGAAUUGAGUACACGGGCAUUCGAUUCCACCGAUUUUGCGUACUAAAAGAUAUGCGCAAUGCAGAAUAAAAGUUGCUGUCCAAAAUCUGAUGCGGUCUUCAAGACACCGGCAGCAAAGACAAGCUCUCAGGCACCAAAUGCGGAAAUUCGUCCCGGUGAAGGUUCAUCAAACAACACAUCUAACAACGAAAAAUCUGGAUCAAGUGGUCGUUCAAUCAAACAGAUGAGCGCCGCAAUUCGAUCGAUUUUAACUGUGAUGAUGAUGACAAUAGUUCAUUCUUUGACCAUUCAUUUGCGUUCCUUUCUUCGAAACAAAGUGAUGAUUCUGGUCGAUCUGACGAAGCAAAUCAAAGUGGCAUCAGUGAUUCUUUAGAUGAAGAGAUGAAUUUUGACGAAUUUUCGUACCAUGACGAUGAACCAUCUAGAUCAAAACAGUCAAAAUCUGGUCGAACUUCUGUUCAAGAUUUCAAGAUCGAUUUCGAUGAGAAUGAGGAUUAUGCCGGUUUUGAAUAGAAUUGACCAUACGGAUCAUCUCAUCAAAUGCCUUCGCCGCUCAUUCUUAUUCUCGUCUUUAAAAAUAGACUUGAACUAAGACAUUUUUUUUUUAACAAACAACAUUUUCCAUUUCAUCAUUUCAUUUUUUUUCUUUCAAAUUUGUUUCAAUGAUAAUUUAAAUCAAACAAUUGUUCAUUAGA
This is an RNA transcript of Contarinia nasturtii (swede midge), 881 nucleotides long. RefSeq lists it as uncharacterized. The transcript is spliced from 6 exons. The record is from RefSeq and is a predicted model, not a curated record. NCBI's taxonomy places the organism in Eukaryota, Metazoa, Arthropoda, Insecta, Diptera, Cecidomyiidae.